Molecule: long non-coding RNA, 4772 nt
Filed under: Heterocephalus glaber (naked mole-rat)
Lineage: Eukaryota; Metazoa; Chordata; Mammalia; Rodentia; Bathyergidae
Description: lncRNA (ENSHGLG00100032943.1)
Source: RNAcentral
GUCUGGGAGGGGAAAGCUGCUCAGGUCCUGGCGGAGGUACGGGAGGAGCCAGGGAGGGAGACACACUCUUCUGGUCCCGCCCCAGUGACCCUCUUCCAACCAGACCCACCUCUUAAGAGCCAGGCAGCCGUGACACCCCCCACCACCCAGCCCCGCGAGCACAUGAGGCUUUGGGCGGACAUCUAGGUAGAAACCAUAACGGGGGUUAAUAAUCACGACUAUAAAACAUUCAGCAAACUAAGUAAAAUGGGCAACUUCAUUCAUUGCUAGUACUAGCGAACAAAGUGAGAGAACUUUUGCUGAUAAGACAAUUUGUUAACAUUAAAAAUAUUUAUGUUCAUACAAAAAUUCAUACAUGAUGGUUCAUAACAACUUUAUUUGUAAUAGCCCAAAACUGGAAUCAGCCCAGAUGUCCUCCGACAGGUGAAUGGUUAAAGAAGCUGUGGUGUAUCUAUACUGGAGAUAAAUGAAAGCAGUGAACCGUUGAUACCCACGAAAACUUGGAUGAUCUCCUGGGAAUUGUGCUGUGUGAAAAGACCCAAUCCUAAAAGGUUACGUGUUGUAUGUUUCAGUUCCUGAAGUGACAAAAUUUAGAAGAGGAGGACAGAGUAGUGGUACAAAAUAUUAAGCGGGGGUAGAGAAAUAGGUGUGAUUAUAAAAAUAAAACAUGAGGAAUCUUUGUGGUGCUGGGACUAUAGUGGUGGAUAUACAAACUUACACAGGUAAUAAAACAGCUUAGGACUUAAUAUACACAUACCCAGACAAGAACAAGAGAAACAUUUACAAGGCCGGUAGAUUGUAGCAAUGUCAAUAUUCUGGCUGUGAUAUCAUAAUAUGGCUUUGCAAACCGUUACCAUUCAGUGAAAGUGGGCAAGGUGCACAUGAGAUCACUGUAUUAUUUCUUAACAGCAGCAUGGGAAUCUAUACUUAUCUCAUUUUCUUACUAAAUGUUAUGACAAAUUAUUAAUGUCUCUGCUGGGUAUAGGGGAGAAGGAGCUGCCCAUGUGUUCCCAUUGUAGAAUUCCAAAGAGGAAGGUUAAUAAAUAUUAUUCUCAUUAUGGUACAUCAAUGAAAUGAUCAUAACCAUGGGGGGUAUUUGUAUCUAUUGACCCAAUAAUUCCACUUCUUGGAAUGUAUUAUUAACAAUGCAUGAAGCCAAGCAGGAUGCCCGCUUAUAAUCUCAGCUAUUCAUGAGGCUGAGGCAGGAAUAUUCAAAAUGUGAGGCCUGCCUGGGCAAUUUAGCAAGACUUUGUCUAAAUAAAUAAAUAAAUAAAUAAACAAACAAAUGUUAAAAACAGGCUGGGAAUAUAGCUCAGUGGAAGAGCGCCUGCCUAGUAUGUGCAAGGUCCAGGGUUCAAUCCCCAGUACCACACACACACAUAUACAGGGGGGAAAAAAGGGAAGAAAUUUUAUGUGUUUGGAUAUUCACUGCCAUAUUAUUUAUAGCAGUGAAAAGAUAUAAAUGAUUAAAAAUAGGUGAUGAGACAUAAAUCACAGUGUAUGUAGGUGAUAAAAUACUCUACGUAGACUUUAAAGAUGCUUUAAAAAAAUACACCCAGAAGGGCUGGGGAUUUAGCUCAGUGGUUCCAGCGCCUGCCUCGCAAAUGCAAGGUCCCAAGUUCGAUCCCCGGUACCCCCCCGCAAAAAAAAACACUCAGAGCCUGACAUGGUGGUACAAUCUGUAAUCCCUGCACUGGGGUGGCUGAGGCAGGAGGAUCUCUAUGAGUUCAAGGCUAGUUUGGGAUACACAGUGAGUUCAAGGCUGGCCUCGACUACAUAGUGAGACCCUGUGUCACCCCAUCUUCCCAAAACCCAAAACCAAAACAAACAAAAAACACAAAAUCAACCCAAAAACAACAAAUUUAAAAAAUCACCCAGUACAAUGCUGGUACAUAGUAGACACCCAAUAAAUGCAGUUCUCUUUUCUUCCUGGAUUGCUCUGGAUAUCAAAAGAGCUAAUAUAGGGGCUGGAGAUGUAGCUCAGUGGUUCCACUGCCUGCUUUGCAAGCACAGGGUCCUGAGUUUGAUCCCCAGUACCAAAAAAAGAGCUAAUGUAGGUCAAUGUACUUGGCAAACUGUAAAGUGCCUGGAGAAAGCUAGUUGUUGCUAUCCUUCUUAGGGCUGCCAGGUACAAGAGUGGCUAAGAGGUGGCAUGGGACCAUAGCUUCUUUCCUGGCUAGGGAGGCACGGGAAUGGGGGAACUGACUCCUUGGGGAAUCUGGGUCCUUUCUAGGGCACUGCCACUCUAGUCCACGCCAUGAAGAAAACAACGAACAUUCUCCUGGCAAGUGGGGGGCAUCACAGAGUGUGGAACCACGUGGGCCCUGCUGGCUCUGCAGUAACAGUGCUCUACUGCAUUGCGUGCCCACUGUCGGGCACUGUCCUGGGUGCUUUACACAUGUGUGUGCAGAUUCUCACAACCACCCAAGGGGAGCUGUUCACCUGCACAUCACAGAUAAGGACACUCAGGCUCAAAGGGGCCAAGUGACUUACCAAGGCAGCUGGCGAGUGGCAGGGCUGGCACUGGAACCUGGCCCUCUGCUGGGUUAAUCCGUGAUCUGAGCACCACAGGUAUGAUAUUUUGAUGGCGUGAGGAGGUGUGCUGUGUGGAGACUGAGGCAGCCCGCAGAAGGAAGCACGUUCUCCGGCGUUCCCUGUACAUGUAGGACUCCAAUCCCUUGUAGGCAGAAGACAGACCUCUGGAGAGAAGUAGGCCCACUCUGGUCUUUCAUCCUAGAGGAAGUUUUCUCGUGUGUUUAACCUCCAUCUUGCCUGCUGACGUCCAGUCUCUUUUCUCCCUUUGCUUCCAGUGAGGAUGGGGAGCUGAUGGCCUGGUUCCUCCUGACUUCUCCAUGAAUGGUUCCAGGGACUUCUAUUUUCCCAGCUCCUCGGAGGACAUGAUGAGGGUGCUUCAGCCCCUUUGGCCUCUGUCCAAGGUACCCAGGCCCCUGGGACUACAGUCAGGGGCAUGAAUGGUUUUCCUGACCCACCUGGUGUGACCUCCAGCGCAGCCUCCUGUCACCCCGAUCCAGAGAGGAUGGAGAAGGCGCAUCUGCCCACCUGGCCUGUGAAUGGGGAGGGCAUUAGUGCUUUCAAACACCUGUGGUUCUGCACCAUUCCCAGCCUGCCCAGGCCUUUCAGCCAGCCCCAGCCCCUUGCUGCUCCUCUCUGGUCCCAGGUACCUGCUCUAGGGUGGACAGCACCGAGAGUGCUGAGGACCACACUCCGGGCCUUGGCCAUGCCGCUUCUAAGACUCGAGGGUCCGAGAUGUGAGACGUCAGCCGGUGGCCGAUAAGAUCCUGCUUGCCCUCCUCAUCUGACUUUCCUCCCUCCACACCUACAUGCUUCUCCUUUUCCUAUUUCCAGGAACUUUCCAAAUGCAGGAACACAGAGCAACUGCAGGACAGGAUUCCACCAAAUUCCCCUCUCUGGCUCUUGGUUUCCACAUCUGUAAAGUAAAGGGUCGGGCAAGAUGAACGCCACGUUGGCUUCCUUGCAGCAGUGAGGUUCCAUGGUCCAGACCCCAAGGCACCACACUCAUUUGUACAUAACCUCCAGGACACUUUCUUCACGUCAGGACAGAGGAACCACUCUGCUCUCAACUCUGCCCUCCAGUCACCUCACCAGUCUUUGGGUCCAUGGCCCCUCGCGCUUGUCCCUCUUUCUUCAGGAACCUCAGACCUCCGUUCCCAACUUCCUUUCACAAGUUUACCACAUUCCUUGGGCUAAGCCGACUGGACAAAACACCAAGAAACCACCUUACCUACUACCCUGGCUGUGAUUUCGGGCUCCAGGCCCAAGUCAACUGCUUUGGGAGGUCCUGGCCACUGGAGGAAAUGCUGGCACCUCUCCCCAGCACCUCCCCUGCUCCUCCACCUCACUGUUCUCCAUGCCAGCACGAAAAGUGGCCAGUGAUUGAUGGGCCUGGGUUCCCGGUAACCGCACCCAGUGGCCCAAUCCUCCUCCCUUCCUCAAUCCCUCCCCUGCCCCUAUUCAGAGCUCAGAUUGUCUCAUGUUGGUCCCUGAGGUCCCAUUAAUUAAAAAUACAUCCAAUUAAAUGGCAGGUGAAAACGUGCUGCUGGAGCUCCACCCCCCACCCCAGCUUGGUCUCUCCGCUCCCCCUGCCCAAGGCUCAGCUGUGCUUUGGCUGAGAAAAGAGAGGGGGGAGAGAAGGGAAGAGAGUAGAGGAAGACAUAGGGGUAGGAGGAUGGCAGGGGGCUACUUGAACCUCUGCCAGGGUAGCAUGUGCCAGCCUGGGAGGGUGGCACUGUGCCCUGGGGUCUAAUUUCUGGAGGUGUGAGUAGUUCAGUCAGCUGGGUACCCACCUCCAUUUCCCUUAAAGAGGCAGAGGGCAGCCAGGGGGUGGCUAACUGUGCUGCCUACUUCUGCGUUUGGUGGCACGAGCGUAAAUGGUAGCAGGGCCUUCGGAGGGGUGUGCUGUUCAGAGGUCAGGGGCAUCUCAGACCUCCAUCCUGGCCAUAUCUCUGCUCUUCCCCAAACUGCGAAGAAGAUAAUGAGGAGCCAAUGGGGACCCAGGUGGCAGGACACGGCAACGCUCCUGAGCCUGGCUGGGGCUGCUCUUGCCUACAGGAAACCAAGAGACAGAUGCAGGGAGUGAGAAAGAAAGGAGCCAUGACUUGGGCAAGGGCAGACGGGUCAGAUAGAGUAGAAUAUUACAGAAAUGGGUAUUCACGUGGGCACCAUGCCCCCGAGCACUGUAUAGGCAAGAGGGCUUGGAGGCCCUCGUCCUGUUUGCCCUUGGUCUCUGCGGA